RNAcentral lists this ribosomal RNA (449 nucleotides) under Porphyromonas endodontalis. Its description in RNAcentral is "bacterial SSU rRNA". It matches the Rfam family "Bacterial small subunit ribosomal RNA", at positions 28 to 467 of the family's 1533-position model. Lineage: Bacteria; Pseudomonadati; Bacteroidota; Bacteroidia; Bacteroidales; Porphyromonadaceae. The record is from RNAcentral.
GAUGAACGCUAGCGACAGGCUUAACACAUGCAAGUCGAGGGGCAGCAUUAUUUUAGCUUGCUAAGAUAGAUGGCGACCGGCGCACGGGUGCGUAACGCGUAUGCAUCCUGCCUGUAAUUAGGGAAUAACCCGGUGAAAGUCGGACUAAUACCCUAUAUUCUUCUUUCUCCGCAUGGGGGAGGACGGAAAGAUUUAUUUUACAGAUGGGCAUGUGUCCCAUUAGCUGGUUGGUAAGGUAACGGCUUACCAAGGCAACGAUGGGUAGGGGGACUGAGAGGUUGACCCCCCACACUGGUACUGAGACACGGACCAGACUCCUACGGGAGGCAGCAGUGAGGAAUAUUGGUCAAUGGGCGAGAGCCUGAACCAGCCAAGUCGUCGUGAAGGACGACGGUUCUAUGGAUUGGUAAAACUUUCUUUUGUAGAGGAAAUAAAUGGCAAGCUAACGU